This 460-nucleotide ribosomal RNA is filed under the name uncultured bacterium. Its description in RNAcentral is "partial 16S ribosomal RNA". It matches the Rfam family "Bacterial small subunit ribosomal RNA", at positions 338 to 795 of the family's 1533-position model. The record is from RNAcentral.
CCUACGGGGGGCAGCAGUUCUUACUAUUGGUCCAUGGGCGCGAGCCUGAACCAGCCAAGUAGCGUGAAGGAUGACUGCCCUACGGGUUGUAAACUUCUUUUAUAAAGGAAUAAAGUGAGGCACGUGUGCCUUUUUGUAUGUACUUUAUGAAUAAGGAUCGGCUAACUCCGUGCCAGCAGCCGCGGUAAUACGGAGGAUCCGAGCGUUAUCCGGAUUUAUUGGGUUUAAAGGGAGCGUAGAUGGGUUGUUAAGUCAGUUGUGAAAGUUUGCGGCUCAACCGUAAAAUUGCAAUUGAUACUGGCAGCAUUGAGUAUAGUUGAGGUAGGCGGAAUUCGUGGUGUAGCGGUGAAAUGCUUAGAUAUCACGAAGAACUCCGAUUGCGAAGGCAGCUUACUAAACUGCCACUGACAUUGAUGCUCGAAAGUGUGGGUAUCAAACAGGAUUAGAUACCCGGGUAGUC